GGUCGAGUAGGUGAGGCGGGACCUGGAGUUCAUUGAAGGCCUCGGCAAACAUCACACUGACUGAGCUGCCAGUGUCCACCAGGAUACGCCCAACGUCAAAGUUAGAAAUGUCAGCCCGGAUAAUGAGUGGGUCGUCAUGGGGGAGGAUAACACCGCGCUCCUCCUCCUCGCUGAAGGUAAUGGGGGCCCAGCCAGAUCUGUGUGUCUUCGGCAAGCGUCCAUGCUCGGUGCUGAAGACCUGGCGCGCAUAGGUGGAGCGGACAUAGUGUUUGAUGGAGUUGUUGGAGGUGCCAGCCAGGGUAGGGCCUCCGUUGAUCGUGGAGAUCAUGUUGAUUUGUCUUUGGUGAGGGUUAGGCGGGGCUGGUAUGUUGUGGACAUAGUUGUCUAGCUUUCCCUCCCGGAUGAGCCCUUCAAUUAUGUUGCGUAAUGCAACACAAGACUCAGUGUCAUGGCCGCUGAAUUGGUGAAAACGGCAGAAGACCCCAGUGUUUGGCAUAGGCUUGUUGGAUGGUCGCCGAGGGGGUGGCUU
Molecule: long non-coding RNA, 529 nt
Filed under: Prunus dulcis (almond)
Lineage: Eukaryota; Viridiplantae; Streptophyta; Magnoliopsida; Rosales; Rosaceae
Description: sRNA ncRNA
Source: RNAcentral